Molecule: ribosomal RNA, 429 nt
Filed under: Chloroflexota bacterium
Lineage: Bacteria; Bacillati; Chloroflexota
Description: Chloroflexi bacterium partial 16S ribosomal RNA
Rfam family: Bacterial small subunit ribosomal RNA
Source: RNAcentral
UGGGGAAUAUUGCACAAUGGGCGCAAGCCUGAUGCAGCCAUGCCGCGUGUGUGAAGAAGGCCUUCGGGUUGUAAAGCACUUUCAGCGGGGAGGAAGGCGGUGAGGUUAAUAACCUCACCGAUUGACGUUACCCGCAGAAGAAGCACCGGCUAACUCCGUGCCAGCAGCCGCGGUAAUACGGAGGGUGCAAGCGUUAAUCGGAAUUACUGGGCGUAAAGCGCACGCAGGCGGUCUGUCAAGUCGGAUGUGAAAUCCCCGGGCUCAACCUGGGAACUGCAUUCGAAACUGGCAGGCUAGAGUCUUGUAGAGGGGGGUAGAAUUCCAGGUGUAGCGGUGAAAUGCGUAGAGAUCUGGAGGAAUACCGGUGGCGAAGGCGGCCCCCUGGACAAAGACUGACGCUCAGGUGCGAAGGCGUGGGGAGCAAACAGG